This 26-nucleotide non-coding RNA is filed under the name Homo sapiens (human). Lineage: Eukaryota; Metazoa; Chordata; Mammalia; Primates; Hominidae. The record is from RNAcentral.
CCAAGCCUCGAGUGGUAUAGCACUGC